This 126-nucleotide small RNA is filed under the name Marmota monax (woodchuck). The record is from RNAcentral. Lineage: Eukaryota; Metazoa; Chordata; Mammalia; Rodentia; Sciuridae.
GCCAGGCACAGUGGCGUGUGCCUGUAAUCCCAGCGGCCUGGGAGGCUGAGUCAGGAGGAUUGCGAGUUCAAAGCCAGCCUCAGCAAAGGCAAGGUACUUAGCAAAUUCAGUGAGAACCUGUCUCUA